This 454-nucleotide ribosomal RNA is filed under the name uncultured Rikenellaceae bacterium. RNAcentral describes it as "partial 16S ribosomal RNA". It matches the Rfam family "Bacterial small subunit ribosomal RNA", at positions 341 to 792 of the family's 1533-position model. Lineage: Bacteria; Pseudomonadati; Bacteroidota; Bacteroidia; Bacteroidales; Rikenellaceae. The record is from RNAcentral.
ACGGGAGGCAGCAGUGAGGAAUAUUGGUCAAUGGUCGGAAGACUGAACCAGCCAUGCCGCGUGCAGGAAUAAGGCCCUAUGGGUCGUAAACUGCUUUUGUGGUGGAGCAAUAAGGCGUACGUGUACGUCGAUGAGAGUACAUCACGAAUAAGCAUCGGCUAACUCCGUGCCAGCAGCCGCGGUAAUACGGAGGAUGCAAGCGUUAUCCGGAUUUAUUGGGUUUAAAGGGUGCGUAGGCUGUGCAUCAAGUCAGCGGUGAAAGCCCGGGGCCUAACUCCGGAACUGCCGUUGAUACUGUUGUGCUUGAAUACGGAUGCCGUGGGAGGAAUGAGUAGUGUAGCGGUGAAAUGCAUAGAUAUUACUCAGAACACCGAUUGCGAAGGCAUCUCACGAAUCCGUUAUUGACGCUGAGGCACGAAAGCGUGGGGAUCAAACAGGAUUAGAUACCCUGGUA